AGUGAACGCUGGCGGCAGGCCUAACACAUGCAAGUCGAGCGGCAGCGUGGGGGCAACCCUGGCGGCGAGCGGCGGACGGGUGAGGAAUUCGUCGGAAUCUGCCUUUUUGUGGGGGAUAACGUAGGGAAACUUACGCUAAUACCGCAUACGUCCUACGGGAGAAAGUGGGGGACCGCAAGGCCUCACGCACAAAGAUGAGCCGACGACCGAUUAGCUAGUUGGUGGGGUAAAGGCCCACCAAGGCGACGAUCGGUAGCUGGUCUGAGAGGAUGAUCAGCCACACGGGGACUGGAACACGGCCCAGACUCCUACGGGAGGCAGCAGUGGGGAAUAUUGGACAAUGGGCGCAAGCCUGAUCCAGCCAGGCCGCGUGUGUGAAGAAGGCCUUCGGGUUGUAAAGCACUUUUGUCCGGAAAGAAAUCCCUGGAGCUAAGACCUUCGGGGGAUGACGGUACCGGAAGAAUAAGCACCGGCUAACUUCGUG
RNAcentral lists this ribosomal RNA (484 nucleotides) under uncultured bacterium. RNAcentral's name for it is "partial 16S ribosomal RNA". It matches the Rfam family "Bacterial small subunit ribosomal RNA", at positions 30 to 507 of the family's 1533-position model. The record is from RNAcentral.